RNAcentral lists this long non-coding RNA (610 nucleotides) under Elaeis guineensis (African oil palm). RNAcentral's name for it is "long non-coding RNA (EGUI_LNC063525)". The record is from RNAcentral. Lineage: Eukaryota; Viridiplantae; Streptophyta; Magnoliopsida; Arecales; Arecaceae.
CAUGCGCCACCUCACUUCCAUUGCACCUAUUUGAAUUCAUGAGAAGGAACUUCUCAUAAAUUUUUUUCUCACGCCAAGCCCUCUCCACGCCCCACUUUAAUGUGCCAUAUAAAUGGAUAAGGAUGAUUGGUUGGCCAUUCAAAUUCAAAAUAAAGUUUGAAUUUGAAUGGGCAAUCAAUCUUUGUGCCUUAUCACUUUUUUUACGCCCCAUUUAUUACAUGAAAAAAGGUUUCUCAUGAAAGUACUCCAUGCACAACUUAAGAUACGCCUCACGCCUUUAGUGGAUAAUGGAUGAGUUGGUGUCCAUUUAAAUUCAAAAUUUGAUUUGAAUUCAAAUGUGCAAUUACUCAUCUUUAUCCUUUCUUUUGGAUAAGACGUUUGACGUUGCUAUAAAAGGAGGAGAAGAGUGGGGCGUGCAAGAAGAAGAAGAUUUUUGGAGAAAAAUUCUGGGGCGUGAGAAGUCUUGUGCGUGAGAAAGAAGUCCAUAUCCUUCCAAGAGAAAAAGAAAGAAAAGAAAGAAAAGUGGGUACAAGGUUUUCGAUGAGUUUUCUGGAGUUUUAGCCUGGGGUUCGGGAAGUGAGAAAGUGAGCUACGAGUAUCGUGAGCCCAC